Molecule: ribosomal RNA, 288 nt
Filed under: uncultured Pseudomonas sp.
Lineage: Bacteria; Pseudomonadati; Pseudomonadota; Gammaproteobacteria; Pseudomonadales; Pseudomonadaceae
Description: partial 16S ribosomal RNA
Rfam family: Bacterial small subunit ribosomal RNA
Source: RNAcentral
GAGCGCAACCCUUGCCUUAGUUACCAGCACGUUAUGGUGGGCACUCUAAGGAGGACUGCCGGUGCAAACCGGAGGAAGGUGGGGAUGACGUCAAGUCAUCAUGGCCCUUACGGCCUGGGCUACACACGUGCUACAAUGGUCGGUACAAAGGGUUGCCAAGCCGCGAGGUGGAGCUAAUCCCAUAAAACCGAUCGUAGUCCGGAUCGCAGUCUGCAACUCGACUGCGUGAAGUCGGAAUCGCUAGUAAUCGUGAAUCAGAAUGUCACGGUGAAUACGUUCCCGGGCCUU